AGAGUUUGAUCAUGGCUCAGGAUGAACGCUGGCGGCGUGCCUAACACAUGCAAGUCGAGCGAUCUUCUUCGGAAGAGAGCGGCGGACGGGUGAGUAACGCGUGGGUAACCUGCCUCAUACACAUGGAUAACAUACCGAAAGGUAUGCUAAUACAAGAUGAUAUAAGAGAUUCGCAUGGAUUUCUUAUCAAAGCUUUUGCGGUAUGAGAUGGACCCGCGUCUGAUUAGCUAGUUGGUAAGGUAAUGGCUUACCAAGGCGACGAUCAGUAGCCGACCUGAGAGGGUGAUCGGCCACAUUGGAACUGAGACACGGUCCAAACUCCUACGGGAGGCAGCAGUGGGGAAUAUUGCACAAUGGGCGAAAGCCUGAUGCAGCAACGCCGCGUGAGCGAUGAAGGCCUUCGGGUCGUAAAGCUCUGUCCUCAAGGAAGAUAAUGACGGUACUUGAGGAGGAAGCCCCGGCUAACUACGUGCCAGCAGCCGCGGUAAUACGUAGGGGGCUAGCGUUAUCCGGAUUUACUGGGCGUAAAGGGUGCGUAGGUGGUUUCUUAAGUCAGGAGUGAAAGGCUACGGCUCAACCGUAGUAAGCUCUUGAAACUGGGAAACUUGAGUGCAGGAGAGGAAAGUGGAAUUCCUAGUGUAGCGGUGAAAUGCGUAGAUAUUAGGAGGAACACCAGUAGCGAAGGCGGCUUUCUGGACUGUAACUGACACUGAGGCACGAAAGCGUGGGGAGCAAACAGGAUUAGAUACCCUGGUAGU
This 758-nucleotide ribosomal RNA is filed under the name uncultured bacterium. RNAcentral describes it as "bacterial SSU rRNA". It matches the Rfam family "Bacterial small subunit ribosomal RNA", at positions 8 to 794 of the family's 1533-position model. The record is from RNAcentral.